UACGAAGGGGGGCUAGCGUUGCUCGGAAUCACUGGGCGUAAAGCGCACGUAGGCGGACUCUUAAAGUCGGGUGGUGAAAUCCCUGGAGCUCAACUCCAGAACUGCCUUCGAUACUGAGAGUCUCGAGUCCGGGAGAGGUGAGUGGAACUGCGAGUGUAGAGGUGAAAUUCGUAGAUAUUCGCAAGAACACCAGUGGCGAAGGCGGCUCACUGGCCCGGUACUGACGCUGAGGUGCGAAAGGCCGUGGGGAGCAAACAGG
Molecule: ribosomal RNA, 259 nt
Filed under: uncultured bacterium
Lineage: Bacteria
Description: partial 16S ribosomal RNA
Rfam family: Bacterial small subunit ribosomal RNA
Source: RNAcentral